Molecule: long non-coding RNA, 481 nt
Organism: Fukomys damarensis (Damara mole-rat)
Lineage: Eukaryota; Metazoa; Chordata; Mammalia; Rodentia; Bathyergidae
Exons: 3
Source: RefSeq, a predicted model, not a curated record
CAAAUUCAUUAUGACCUCACUGGAACGUGAUCACAUCUGUGAAGAUCCUGAUUCCAUGGUGCAGGUAGACGUGAACUUCGAAAGGACACUGUUCAACCUUGGGUCAGUCACCGGGGAAAGAAUGUCGCUAGAGAAGAAGCCUGAGGGGUACAGGGCUUUCAGAUCCUCGUGGUUAGAGGACAGACAGAAGGACCUACUUAAUAACGCAGCAGGGAGUGAGUCUCACUAGGCUGGAGGAGCAUCCUUCCAACAAGAGUGACCAACAGUGUCACACACCGCUGGGAGAUGGAGGAGGACCGACUUUCUGGUUUUGGAAACAGCUAACAGACAAUUCGUUCUUCAGUAAUAAUGGUGGCUGAAAUGAAGAGGGAAUAAUCCUGACAGAGCUCUGAGGAUUAGAAGUGCCAGCAAAAUCAGACAGUCGCACGACCUCAUCCCUCAAAGCUCUGUGCUGGAUCAUGUCAUCCGUUAAUUGUCACUG